AGUGAACGCUGGCGGUAGGCCUAACACAUGCAAGUCGAACGGCAGCACAGUAAGAGCUUGCUCUUACGGGUGGCGAGUGGCGGACGGGUGAGGAAUACAUCGGAAUCUACUUUUUCGUGGGGGAUAACGUAGGGAAACUUACGCUAAUACCGCAUACGACCUACGGGUGAAAGCAGGGGAUCUUCGGACCUUGCGCGAUUGAAUGAGCCGAUGUCGGAUUAGCUAGUUGGCGGGGUAAAGGCCCACCAAGGCGACGAUCCGUAGCUGGUCUGAGAGGAUGAUCAGCCACACUGGAACUGAGACACGGUCCAGACUCCUACGGGAGGCAGCAGUGGGGGAUAUUGGACAAUGGGCGCAAGCCUGAUCCAGCCAUACCGCGUGGGUGAAGAAGGCCUUCGGGUUGUAAAGCCCUUUUGUUGGGAAAGAAAAGCAGCAGGUUAAUACCCCGCUGCUCUGACGGUACCCAAAGAAUAAGCACCGGCUAACUUCGUG
This 492-nucleotide ribosomal RNA is filed under the name uncultured bacterium. RNAcentral describes it as "partial 16S ribosomal RNA". It matches the Rfam family "Bacterial small subunit ribosomal RNA", at positions 29 to 507 of the family's 1533-position model. The record is from RNAcentral.